CUCCAAUAGCGUAUACUAAAGUUGUUGCAGUUAAAAAGCUCGUAGUUGAAUUUCUGGUCUUGGACGGCGGUCUACCACAAUUGUGGUACGUACCAACUGUCCGAGUCCAUCCUCGGGGAAAACAUGCCUGUGAUUCAGUUCAUGGGUAUGGGAGACGGAUCGUUUACUUUGAAAAAAUCAGAGUGUUUCAAGCAGGCAUUUGCUCUUGCAUGGAUUAGCAUGGGAUAAUGAAAUAGGACUUUGGUGCUAUUUUGUUGGUUUCGAACACCGAAGUAAUGAUUAACAGGGACAGUCAGGGGCACUCGUAUUCCGCAGAGAGAGGUGAAAUUCUCAGACCCGCGGAAGACGAACCACUGCGAAAGCAUUUGCCAGGGAUGUUUUCACUGAUCAAGAACGAAAGUUAAGGGAUCGAAGACGAUCAGAUACCGUCGUAGUCUUAACCAUAAACCAUGCCGACUAGGGAUUGGAGGAUGUUCACUUUUGACUCCUUCAGCACCUUACGGGAAACUAAAGUCUUUGGGUUCCGGGGGGAGUAUGGUCGCAAGGCUGAAA
RNAcentral lists this ribosomal RNA (552 nucleotides) under uncultured eukaryote. Its description in RNAcentral is "bacterial SSU rRNA". It matches the Rfam family "Eukaryotic small subunit ribosomal RNA", at positions 589 to 1142 of the family's 1831-position model. The record is from RNAcentral.